UACGAAGGGGGCUAGCGUUGUUCGGAAUCACUGGGCGUAAAGCGCACGCAGGCGGAUCGAUAAGUCGGGGGUGAAAGCCCGGGGUUCAACCUAGGAAUUGCCUUCGAUACUGUCGGUCUCGAGUCCGGGAGAGGUGAGUGGAAUUCCUAGUGUAGAGGUGAAAUUCGUAGAUAUUAGGAAGAACACCAGUGGCGAAGGCGGCUCUCUGGCCCGGUACUGACGCUCAGGUGCGAAAGCGUGGGGAGCAAACAGG
This 253-nucleotide ribosomal RNA is filed under the name uncultured bacterium. RNAcentral describes it as "partial 16S ribosomal RNA". It matches the Rfam family "Bacterial small subunit ribosomal RNA", at positions 524 to 776 of the family's 1533-position model. The record is from RNAcentral.